Paramacrobiotus metropolitanus is the source of this 696-nucleotide long non-coding RNA. RefSeq lists it as uncharacterized. The record is from RefSeq and is a predicted model, not a curated record. The transcript has 3 exons. Lineage: Eukaryota; Metazoa; Tardigrada; Eutardigrada; Parachela; Macrobiotidae.
UUCCGGCUCGUAAAUGGUUCUGUUGACGAAAAUCGCGGCCCGCUAGCAACUACCGUUUUCGCUACAGGUGCCACUCUAUACUUGUAGAGAAAUUUUCAGCGUUACAGUUCUUCCCGCAACUGUCAUUACGACCAGGUCUAAGUUGUCAGAAGCUUUAUCAUGGAUGAAGAAUGGUACACAAUACGUGAGCUCAAAAAGCUGUUCUGGAAUUGCAUUGGAGAGCUUUUCUUAGGGUUUUCGACGAGCGGCAUUGUUGUUUGGAAACUCACACAUAAAGACUAUCAGCUGGAUGUUGGCUAUUUGGUACCAAAGAUGGGCCUUUUAACGGCAAUGGUUGCAUGUGUGGCCAUAAUUGUGUUCUGCACCGGCAUCAUCGCACAUUACAUCAUCUGGCGGUCCAGUGCUGGAUCCCUGCAGAAUGCCAGAAUCCUCUGGACAGGUACUUCCACCCGGAGAAACUUGUGUUGAGCGAAUCUGCGUGGAUGUACGCUUUCAUGAUAAUCCUCUUCGGCGUUCUGAUUAUUGACAUAACUUACCACGCAGUAAAGAUACACGGUCAUUACACUGCUCGCACAGGCGAAGUUCUGAGUAUUGCCGAGGAUGCAGAGCAGGAUUGCAGCGCGGAGAUGGUAAUAGAUGCGGAGACCGUGAAUGAUAACCAUAAUCAAGUUAUGUUACACAGUCCGCCAUGUCGUC